This 486-nucleotide ribosomal RNA is filed under the name uncultured soil bacterium. Its description in RNAcentral is "bacterial SSU rRNA". It matches the Rfam family "Bacterial small subunit ribosomal RNA", at positions 26 to 509 of the family's 1533-position model. The record is from RNAcentral.
AGAUUGAACGCUGGCGGCAUGCCUUACACAUGCAAGUCGAACGGCAGCACGGGAGCAAUCCUGGUGGCGAGUGGCGAACGGGUGAGUAAUACAUCGGAACGUGCCCAAUCGUGGGGGAUAACGCAGCGAAAGCUGUGCUAAUACCGCAUAAGAUCUACGGAUGAAAGCAGGGGAUCGCAAGACCUUGCGCGAAUGGAGCGGCCGAUGGCAGAUUAGGUAGUUGGCGAGGUAAAGGCUCACCAAGCCUUCGAUCUGUAGCUGGUCUGAGAGGACGACCAGCCACACUGGGACUGAGACACGGCCCAGACUCCUACGGGAGGCAGCAGUGGGGAAUUUUGGACAAUGGGCGAAAGCCUGAUCCAGCCAUGCCGCGUGCAGGAUGAAGGCCUUCGGUUGUAACUGUCUUUGUACGGAACGAAAGUACUCUUUCUAAUAAAGAGGAUCAUAGACGGUACGUAAAGAAUAAGACACCGCUAACUACGUACG